This 22-nucleotide microRNA is filed under the name Mus musculus (house mouse). RNAcentral describes it as "microRNA 5133". Lineage: Eukaryota; Metazoa; Chordata; Mammalia; Rodentia; Muridae. The record is from RNAcentral.
CGCCGUGUCUCUGCCGCUCGCU